GUGGGCGUAGCUCAGCUGGUAGAGCAUCGGACUGUGGCUCCGAACGCCGUGGGUUCAAAUCCCAUCGCCCACCCCA
This 76-nucleotide transfer RNA is filed under the name Acidobacteriota bacterium. Its description in RNAcentral is "Acidobacteria bacterium tRNA-His". It matches the Rfam family "tRNA". From Rfam's summary of the family: Transfer RNA (tRNA) molecules are approximately 80 nucleotides in length. Their secondary structure includes four short double-helical elements and three loops (D, anti-codon, and T loops). RNAcentral also lists the same sequence under 2 other names. Lineage: Bacteria; Pseudomonadati; Acidobacteriota. The record is from RNAcentral.